GGCCUGAUAGCAUAACUGGAUAGUGCAUCUACUUAGUGUACCAAUAGUACCAAUAGUCCCCAUUAUUUGGUAGAAGACCCCCGUUCAAUCCGGGGUUAGGCCA
Non-coding RNA from Mycena latifolia, 103 nucleotides. NCBI's taxonomy places the organism in Eukaryota, Fungi, Basidiomycota, Agaricomycetes, Agaricales, Mycenaceae. The record is from the annotation of a GenBank genome assembly.